This 463-nucleotide ribosomal RNA is filed under the name uncultured bacterium. RNAcentral describes it as "partial 16S ribosomal RNA". It matches the Rfam family "Bacterial small subunit ribosomal RNA", at positions 28 to 507 of the family's 1533-position model. The record is from RNAcentral.
GAUGAACGCUGACAGAAUGCUUAACACAUGCAAGUCUUUGGCGAAUCUGUGCUUGCACAGGCUAGCCAAGGCGGACGGGUGAGUAACGCGUAAAGAACUUGCCCUGCAGACAGGGAUAACAGACGGAAACGACUGAUAACACCUGAUACAGUUGCCGGCACGCAUGUGCCUGGCAAUGAAAAGAGAUGCUGCAGGAGAGCUUUGCGUCCUAUUAGCUUGUUGGUGAGGUGACGGCUCACCAAGGCGAUGAUAGGUAGCCGGCCUGAGAGGGUGAACGGCCACAAGGGGACUGAGAUACGGCCCUUACUCCUACGGGAGGCAGCAGUGGGGAAUAUUGGACAAUGGGGGCAACCCUGAUCCAGCAAUUCUGAGUGCACGAAGAAGGUUUUCGGAUUGUAAAGUGCUUUCAGCAGGGAAGAAGAAAGUGACGGUACCUGCAGAAGAAGCGACGGCUAAAUACGUG